This 995-nucleotide ribosomal RNA is filed under the name uncultured bacterium. RNAcentral describes it as "bacterial SSU rRNA". It matches the Rfam family "Bacterial small subunit ribosomal RNA", at positions 356 to 1376 of the family's 1533-position model. The record is from RNAcentral.
GGGGAAUAUUGCACAAUGGGGGAAACCCUGAUGCAGCGACGCCGCGUGGAGGAAGAAGGUCUUCGGAUUGUAAACUCCUGUUGUUGAGGAAGAUAAUGACGGUACUCAACAAGGAAGUGACGGCUAACUACGUGCCAGCAGCCGCGGUAAAACGUAGGUCACAAGCGUUGUCCGGAAUUACUGGGUGUAAAGGGAGCGCAGGCGGGCGAUCAAGUUGGAAGUGAAAUCCAUGGGCUCAACCCAUGAACUGCUUUCAAAACUGGUCGUCUUGAGUAGUGCAGAGGUAGGCGGAAUUCCCGGUGUAGCGGUGGAAUGCGUAGAUAUCGGGAGGAACACCAGUGGCGAAGGCGGCCUACUGGGCACCAACUGACGCUGAGGCUCGAAAGUGUGGGUAGCAAACAGGAUUAGAUACCCUGGUAGUCCACACCGUAAACGAUGAUUACUAGGUGUUGGAGGAUUGACCCCUUCAGUGCCGCAGUUAACACAAUAAGUAAUCCACCUGGGGAGUACGACCGCAAGGUUGAAACUCAAAGGAAUUGACGGGGGCCCGCACAAGCAGUGGAGUAUGUGGUUUAAUUCGACGCAACGCGAAGAACCUUACCAAGUCUUGACAUCCUGCGACGAUGCUAGAAAUAGUAUUUUCCUUCGGGACGCAGAGACAGGUGGUGCAUGGUUGUCGUCAGCUCGUGUCGUGAGAUGUUGGGUUAAGUCCCGCAACGAGCGCAACCCUUAUGGUCAGUUACUACGCAAGAGGACUCUGGCCAGACUGCCGUUGACAAAACGGAGGAAGGUGGGGAUGACGUCAAAUCAUCAUGCCCUUUAUGACUUGGGCUACACACGUACUACAAUGGCGUUAAACAAAGAGAAGCAAGACCGCGAGGUGGAGCAAAACUCAGAAACAACGUCCCAGUUCGGACUGCAGGCUGCAACUCGCCUGCACGAAGUCGGAAUUGCUAGUAAUCGCAGAUCAGCAUGCUGCGGUGAAUACGUUCCCG